This 19-nucleotide ribosomal RNA is filed under the name uncultured Tomentella. RNAcentral describes it as "partial 18S ribosomal RNA". Lineage: Eukaryota; Fungi; Basidiomycota; Agaricomycetes; Thelephorales; Thelephoraceae. The record is from RNAcentral.
UGCGGAGGAUCAUUACCGA